This is a long non-coding RNA of Paramisgurnus dabryanus, 259 nucleotides long. RefSeq lists it as uncharacterized. Lineage: Eukaryota; Metazoa; Chordata; Actinopteri; Cypriniformes; Cobitidae. The record is from RefSeq and is a predicted model, not a curated record.
CAAACGUUGUGUUGAUGAUUAAGGAAGACUAUUUGAAGGCAACGUUUUAGCGAUGAGAUUGAGACUUGACGAAAACAAAGAAGAAAUGACAGAGAGUGCAGCUUUGAGCCAAUUCAGACGUGGAUCUUUUUUGAUGGAGUCCAUCUUCCAAAGCAAGAAGGGAGAUAAAUUGGCAGAGAGAGAGAGGAAAGAGAGAGAGCAGGGAGAGAUAGAGACAGUCGACAGUCCUGCUCUGCAUCAGUCUUUACCCGGAGUGAAG